This 494-nucleotide ribosomal RNA is filed under the name uncultured bacterium. RNAcentral describes it as "partial 16S ribosomal RNA". It matches the Rfam family "Bacterial small subunit ribosomal RNA", at positions 28 to 507 of the family's 1533-position model. The record is from RNAcentral.
GACGAACGCUGGCGGCGUGCUAAACACAUGCAAGUCGAACGGAAAGGCCUGCUUUCCCUUGUGGAUUGCGGGUACUCGAGUGGCGAACGGGUGAGUAACACGUGAGUGAUCUGCCCCCAACUUGGGUAUAAGCCUGGGAAACUGGGUCUAAUUCCCGAUAGGACUGCAGGGUGGUGCCUGUGGUGGAAAACGAUUUUCUAGUGGUUGGGGAUGAGCUCGCGGCCUAUCAGCUUGUUGGUGGGGUAAUGGCCUACCAAGGCGGCGACGGGUAGCCGGCCUGAGAGGGUGGACGGCCACAUUGGGACUGAGAUACGGCCCAGACUCCUACGGGAGGCAGCAGUGGGGAAUAUUGCACAAUGGGCGGAAGCCUGAUGCAGCGACGCCGCGUGGGGGAUGACGGCCUUCGGGUUGUAAACUCCUUUCGACCGCGAGGAAGCCACCUGGUUGGAAGGGUGGUGACGGUAGUGGUAGAAGAAGCACCGGCUAACUACGUG